UGGGGAAUAUUGGACAAUGGGGGAAACCCUGAUCCAGCAAUGCCGCGUGAGUGAAGAAGGCCUUAGGGUUGUAAAGCUCUUUCGCCCGUGACGAUGAUGACGGUAACGGGAGAAGAAGCCCCGGCUAAUUCCGUGCCAGCAGCCGCGGUAAUACGGAAGGGGCUAGCGUUGUUCGGAUUUACUGGGCGUAAAGCGCAUGUAGGCGGCGGAUCAAGUGGGGCGUGAAAGGCCUGGGCUCAACCUGGGAACUGCGCUUCAGACUGGUUCGCUCGAGUUCGGGAGAGGGUGGUGGAAUUCCCAGUGUAGAGGUGAAAUUCGUAGAUAUUGGGAGGAACACCGGUGGCGAAGGCGGCCACCUGGCCCGAGACUGACGCUCAAGUGCGAAAGCGUGGGGAGCAAACAG
This 403-nucleotide ribosomal RNA is filed under the name uncultured organism. RNAcentral describes it as "bacterial SSU rRNA". It matches the Rfam family "Bacterial small subunit ribosomal RNA", at positions 355 to 775 of the family's 1533-position model. The record is from RNAcentral.